AUUUAGAUGACGAAUCCCAAAUAGAACGAAACGCGCAUCCUAAAU
RNAcentral lists this non-coding RNA (45 nucleotides) under Schistosoma mattheei. Lineage: Eukaryota; Metazoa; Platyhelminthes; Trematoda; Strigeidida; Schistosomatidae. The record is from RNAcentral.